This 446-nucleotide long non-coding RNA is filed under the name Panax ginseng (ginseng). Its description in RNAcentral is "long non-coding RNA (PGIN_LNC015417)". The record is from RNAcentral. Lineage: Eukaryota; Viridiplantae; Streptophyta; Magnoliopsida; Apiales; Araliaceae.
UAAUUCAAUUCAAUCGAAUUAUUUAGGUGUACCCAAACCCCGUUGGCAAAUUAAAAUUUUUGAAAACAUUUUUGAGAAUGACGUCAUGAUGCCGCACUGUAUUUACAGUCCGUUGAGGAUUUCGUCAUUUGGUGAUUUUGUCAUACUACAUUAUACCAUAGUGGAAUAGUGACUUUAUGUCAAAUUCACACUAAGUAAUACUGCAUUGAUGACUCCAUCAUUUUUAUCAUCUCUGCACCAGGUUACAUGGUACAUAAGUGAUAAAUAAAAAUAAUUUUUGAUAUUUCAAAUCAUUUGCGUCUAGCCGAAAUAAGUAGCAUAGACUGUACUUUAAACCGUUUCAAAAAUGGUUACGAGUCUACAUUUUUUUUUAAAAGGCACAUAGUGCGUAUUUAGCUUGAUGUCAAAAAUUUGAAGUUUAGCAUAGCUAGGAGUUUAGGAAAACC